AGAUUUAGUUGCUGCAGAGACAAUUUAAAUUAAUGAGGGAGAAGAAAAAAUAAUGAUUGAACUACAAAACAGAAACAGCAGACAUGGCUAUACGAAAAUAAUGAAGUGGAACCCUCCGAAUUUGGAACAAGUAUCCAAGGACAUGGUAGAUCAGUAUUUUUCACCUCUGAGCGAAUUUGAGCCUGGUCUAGAGCUACCCAUCAAACAGCGCGAAACUUUCACGUAGUUGAGAAUGUGCUCCUCAUUUUUGUUUUAUGUUUUCUGCAGAAGGAUAUUGGAAGCCAAAAGAAUUCAAAGCCUUCUAUGUUUUGCCCUGAUCUCUCUCUCUUUCAUUUUUGUAGUGGAUGAAUAUUAAGAUCGUUCUGUUGCAUAAUGAAAAUUUACAAUUUUUUUCUUAUAA
Non-coding RNA from Camellia sinensis, 400 nucleotides. NCBI's taxonomy places the organism in Eukaryota, Viridiplantae, Streptophyta, Magnoliopsida, Ericales, Theaceae. The record is from RefSeq and is a predicted model, not a curated record.